GGUCCUUUCCUGUCUCUAGUCCUUUACCUAUCUCCUGCUUGCCAGAAGGGGAGGAGCUUCUCCCCCCGACACAUUUCCUCCACCACGUUUGUUCUGUGCCACAGGACUGACGGUGGCGAAGCUAGCUGAUUUUGGGCUAAAGUUUUUGAAACCAAGGGCCAUGUAGAGUUUCCAGAAGGAGUUCCUGGAGGAGUGAAGAAAACUACUUCUGCCAGACAGAAAUGGAACACCUUAGCUAUCUACCAUCACUGUAGAGACGUGAGAUUGCAAAGCUUUGCAAAAUGUUUGAGCAUCCAUAUCACUUUCAAUUUAU
Chinchilla lanigera (long-tailed chinchilla) is the source of this 313-nucleotide long non-coding RNA. RefSeq lists it as uncharacterized. Lineage: Eukaryota; Metazoa; Chordata; Mammalia; Rodentia; Chinchillidae. The record is from RefSeq and is a predicted model, not a curated record. The transcript is spliced from 3 exons.